UAGCUGACACUUGGUAAGUGUUUAGUAGGUGAUUAAGUGGGCGUUGAAUUACAUACAUUGACUGGACUCGCCACUAGGGGAAGAUAAGUCAUCCUAUUUAGGUUCACAGCUAGCUGGUGUUUUCGAAAUAGAUUCCUAAACCGCUGUGUCAUGAGGAAACACAAAGAAAGCAGUGUGUUGCUGAAGACGGUGUAUACCGUUUAGAGUUGCUAGAUUUAACAAAAAUACAGGACACCCAGUUAAAUUUAAAUCGAAUUUUAAUUUCAGGUAAACAAUACAUAAUUUUUUAGUAUAAGUCUGUCCCAAAUAUUGCAUGAAACAUAAACUGAAAAGUUUUUUGUUAUUUGUCUGAAAUUACAGAUGGGCCACAAAGAUGACUUCUACAUGUCUAUGUGACAGAAUUCAUUUAGAAGAUUUCAAAACUUGUUUUAUACUAAAAAAUUCAUAAUCAUCUCUAUGUAAAAUGCCAGAGUAUUCAAAGCAUUGUACAACAACAAAAUUUUUUUAGUAAUAUCCCAUGCAAUAUUUGGGACAUACACUAAAACAUUAUUCAUCUGCUUAUGUGAAAGCAUAAUUUUAAUUUUGUAUUUUUAUCGGGCGACGCUGAGGAUGUUAAGUUUCAAAAAUACUACUAGCCCUCCCAACACCUCCCAAACCAAUAUAAAUAAUGUUUCAUACAGAAAUGUAUACUAGCUUCAUCACACAUAAUGUUUUAUUCACAAUUUAAAACAAUGUUUAAGGGACUUCCCUGGUGGCGCAGUGGUUACGAAUCUGCCUGCCAAUGCAGGGGACACGGGUUCGAUCCCUGGUCCAGGAAGAUCCCACAUGCUGCGGAGCAACAAAGCCCGUGUGCCACAACUACCGAGCCUGCGCUCUGGAGCCUGCGAGCCAUGACUACUGAGCCCGCGUGUAGCAGCUACUGAAGCCUGAGCGCUUAGAGCCCGUGCUCUGCAAUAAGAGAAGCCACCACAAUGAGAAGCCCGCGCACCGCAACGAAGAGUAGCCCCCGCUAGCCGCAACUAGAGAAAAUCAGCACGCAGCAACGAAGACCAAACGCAGCCUAAAUAAAUAAACAGUGUUUAAGACAGUCAACAUUGCAAGCCAGAAAAAUGAAUGCUAAUCUAAUUCUGUCCCAAUAUGAAGGCGUUGAGGGAGGCAGCUCCGUGGGGUGGGGACCUUCUGAAGAAUCUGGCCAGCUACCACCUUGCACUCACUUCUCAGCUGGCUCUGUUCACAUGUUCUUUCACAUCACAGUUACUCACAUGCUUGUCUUUCCUGCCGGACUGUGAGCAGCAUGAGGUGAAGGGCUAUAUUCGUUUGUCUUUGAUUCCUCAGGCCAAAUGGUGCCCAACAUACCGUGAGUAGUUGCUCAAAAAAGGGAUCUGUUGAAUUGAAAUGAAUUCACUGUUUCACUUAGAGUUAUUUCUUUCAGAUCACUCUCCAAGGGUAGGAUUGCUUGGUUAAAAAGCCAGAAUAGGACUUCCCUGUUGGUCCAGUGGUUAAGACUCCACCCUACCUAAGCUGGGACGAAGUGAGAGAGUGGCAUGGAUAUAUAUAUACACUACCAGAUGCAAAAUAGAUAGCUAGUGGGAAGCAGCCGUAUAGCACAGGGAGAUCAGCGCGGUGCUUUGUGACCACCUAGAGGGGUGGGAUAGGGAGGGUCGGAGGGAGACGCGAGACGGAGGGGAUAUGGGGAUAUAUGUAUACGUAUAGCUGAUUCACUUUGUUAUACAGCAGAAACUAACACACCAUUGUAAAGCAAUUAUACUCCAAUAAAGAUGU
Phocoena sinus (vaquita) is the source of this 1782-nucleotide long non-coding RNA. The record is from Ensembl. Lineage: Eukaryota; Metazoa; Chordata; Mammalia; Artiodactyla; Phocoenidae.